UACGUAGGGGGCGAGCGUUUUCCGGAUUUAUUGGGCGUAAAGCGUGUGUAGGCGGUUUAUUAAGUUUAAGAUUAAAGCCUGGAGCUUAACUCCAGUUCGUCUUAAAAACUGGUAAACUCGAGUAUGGUAGAGGCAAACGGAAUUUCUAGUGUAGCGGUGAAAUGCGUAGAUAUUAGAAGGAACACCAGUGGCGAAAGCGGUUUGCUGGGCCAUCACUGACGCUGAGGCACGAAAGCGUGGGGAGCAAAUA
This 250-nucleotide ribosomal RNA is filed under the name uncultured prokaryote. RNAcentral describes it as "partial 16S ribosomal RNA". It matches the Rfam family "Bacterial small subunit ribosomal RNA", at positions 524 to 774 of the family's 1533-position model. The record is from RNAcentral.